Molecule: ribosomal RNA, 434 nt
Filed under: uncultured bacterium
Lineage: Bacteria
Description: partial 16S ribosomal RNA
Rfam family: Bacterial small subunit ribosomal RNA
Source: RNAcentral
AGCGAACGCUGGCGGCAGGCCUAACACAUGCAAGUCGAACGAACCUUUCGGGGUUAGUGGCGGACGGGUGAGUAACACGUGGGAACGUGCCUUUAGGUUCGGAGUAACUCAGGGAAACUUGUGCUAAUACCGAAUGUGCCCUUCGGGGGAAAGAUUUAUCGCCUUUAGAGCGGCCCGCGUCUGAUUAGCUAGUUGGUUGAGGUAAUGGCUCACCAAGGCGACGAUCAGUAGCUGGUCUGAGAGGAUGAUCAGCCACAUUGGGACUGAGACACGGCCCAAACUCCUACGGGAGGCAGCAGUGGGGAAUCUUGCGCAAUGGGCGAAAGCCUGACGCAGCCAUGCCGCGUGAAUGAUGAAGGUCUUAGGAUUGUAAAAUUCUUUCACCGGGGACGAUAAUGACGGUACCCGGAGAAGAAGCCCCGGCUAACUUCGUG